This 700-nucleotide ribosomal RNA is filed under the name Lactococcus lactis. RNAcentral describes it as "bacterial SSU rRNA". It matches the Rfam family "Bacterial small subunit ribosomal RNA", at positions 36 to 719 of the family's 1533-position model. Lineage: Bacteria; Bacillati; Bacillota; Bacilli; Lactobacillales; Streptococcaceae. The record is from RNAcentral.
CUGCAAUGCGCGUGCUAUACAUGCAGUUGAGCGCUGAAGGUUGGUACUUGUACCAACUGGAUGAGCAGCGAACGGGUGAGUAACGCGUGGGGAAUCUGCCUUUGAGCGGGGGACAACAUUUGGAAACGAAUGCUAAUACCGCAUAAAAACUUUAAACACAAGUUUUAAGUUUGAAAGAUGCAAUUGCAUCACUCAAAGAUGAUCCCGCGUUGUAUUAGCUAGUUGGUGAGGUAAAGGCUCACCAAGGCGAUGAUACAUAGCCGACCUGAGAGGGUGAUCGGCCACAUUGGGACUGAGACACGGCCCAAACUCCUACGGGAGGCAGCAGUAGGGAAUCUUCGGCAAUGGACGAAAGUCUGACCGAGCAACGCCGCGUGAGUGAAGAAGGUUUUCGGAUCGUAAAACUCUGUUGGUAGAGAAGAACGUUGGUGAGAGUGGAAAGCUCAUCAAGUGACGGUAACUACCCAGAAAGGGACGGCUAACUACGUGCCAGCAGCCGCGGUAAUACGUAGGUCCCGAGCGUUGUCCGGAUUUAUUGGGCGUAAAGCGAGCGCAGGUGGUUUAUUAAGUCUGGUGUAAAAGGCAGUGGCUCAACCAUUGUAUGCAUUGGAAACUGGUAGACUUGAGUGCAGGAGAGGAGAGUGGAUUCCAUGUGUAGCGAUGAAAUGAUUACAUAUUUGGCCGCACGCACGUUUGUUAC